CCUACGUGUGGCAGCAGUAGGGAAUAUUGCUCAAUGGGGGAAACCCUGAUGCAGCAACGCCGCGUGGAUGAUGAAGUUUUUCGGAUUGUAAACUCCUUUUGUUAGAGAAGAUAAUGACGGUAUCUAACGAAUAAGCACCGGCUAACUCCGUGCCAGCAGCCGCGGUAAUACGGAGGGUGCAAGCGUUACCCGGAAUCACUGGGCGUAAAGGGCGCGUAGGCGGGACGGCAAGUCAGGUGUGAAAUCCCAUGGCUUAACCACAGGACUGCCGUUGAAACUGUUUUUCUGGAGUAGGGGAGGGGUACGUGGAAUGCUUGGUGUAGCGGUGAAAUGCGUAGAGAUCAAGAGGAACACCGAUUGCGAAGGCGGCGUGCUGGAACCUAACUGACGCUGAGGCGCGAAAGCGUGGGGAGCAAACAGGAUUAGAUACCCCAGUAGUC
RNAcentral lists this ribosomal RNA (440 nucleotides) under uncultured bacterium. Its description in RNAcentral is "partial 16S ribosomal RNA". It matches the Rfam family "Bacterial small subunit ribosomal RNA", at positions 338 to 795 of the family's 1533-position model. The record is from RNAcentral.